Long non-coding RNA from Sebastes umbrosus (honeycomb rockfish), 145 nucleotides. RefSeq lists it as uncharacterized. The record is from RefSeq and is a predicted model, not a curated record. The transcript has 3 exons. Lineage: Eukaryota; Metazoa; Chordata; Actinopteri; Perciformes; Sebastidae.
CUUUUAGCUUGGAAUUCAUAGACUGUAGGGUAUAUAAGAAGUUGACAUAGUCACUGUAACGUCACCCAUUGGUUUGUGGACUGCCGUUUUGAAUCCUCGAGUUCGGCAUUUUGGCCGUUGCCAUCUUGGUUUUUGGUCAUCGCCA